RNAcentral lists this ribosomal RNA (604 nucleotides) under uncultured fungus. RNAcentral describes it as "eukaryotic LSU rRNA". The stretch from base 242 to 395 matches the Rfam family "5.8S ribosomal RNA". The record is from RNAcentral. Lineage: Eukaryota; Fungi.
CUUGGUCAUUUAGAGGAAGUAAAAGUCGUAACAAGGUUUCCGUAGGUGAACCUGCGGAAGGAUCAUUACAGUAGUCACCCAGGUUGCCGCAAGGCCUCCUGGGUAACCUACCACCCUUUGUUUAUUACACUUUGUUGCUUUGGCAAGCCUGCCCUCGGGCUGCUGGCUCCGGCCGGCGAGCGCUUGCCAGAGGACCUAAACUCUGUUUGUCUAUACUGUCUGAGUACUAUAUAAUAGUUAAAACUUUCAACAACGGAUCUCUUGGUUCUGGCAUCGAUGAAGAACGCAGCGAAAUGCGAUAAGUAAUGUGAAUUGCAGAAUUCAGUGAAUCAUCGAAUCUUUGAACGCACAUUGCGCCCCCUGGUAUUCCGGGGGGCAUGCCUGUCCGAGCGUCAUUACAACCCUCAAGCUCAGCUUGGUAUUGGGCCCCGCCGACCCGGCGGGCCCUAAAGUCAGUGGCGGUGCCGUCCGGCUCCGAGCGUAGUAAUUCUUCUCGCUCUGGAGGUCCGGUCGUGUGCUCGCCAGCAACCCCCAAUUUUUUUCAGGUUGACCUCGGAUCAGGUAGGGAUACCCGCUGAACUUAAGCAUAUCAAUAAGCGGAGGA